UUGAAUAAAAUCUGGCGUUGGUUGUAGCUGGCUCUCCGGAGCAUGUGCUCGCCCGUCACCUUUAUCUUUCCACCUGUGCACACACUGUAGUCCUGGAUACCUCUCGCCGCAAGGCGGAUGCAGGGAUUGCCGCGUCCUCCUCGCGAGGUCGGCUCUCUCUGAAUUUCCAGGGCUAUGAAAUUUACACACCCCAAACGUAUGUCAUAGAAUGUCAUCACUAGGCUUCGUGCCUAUAAACCUAUA
RNAcentral lists this unclassified non-coding RNA (243 nucleotides) under uncultured Coprinopsis. Its description in RNAcentral is "sequence contains ITS1". The record is from RNAcentral. Lineage: Eukaryota; Fungi; Basidiomycota; Agaricomycetes; Agaricales; Psathyrellaceae.